GAACGCUGGCGGCGUGCCUAAUACAUGCAAGUCGAACGAACUCUGGUAUUGAUUGGUGCUUGCAUCAUGAUUUACAUUUGAGUGAGUGGCGAACUGGUGAGUAACACGUGGGAAACCUGCCCAGAAGCGGGGGAUAACACCUGGAAACAGAUGCUAAUACCGCAUAACAACUUGGACCGCAUGGUCCGAGCUUGAAAGAUGGCUUCGGCUAUCACUUUUGGAUGGUCCCGCGGCGUAUUAGCUAGAUGGUGGGGUAACGGCUCACCAUGGCAAUGAUACGUAGCCGACCUGAGAGGGUAAUCGGCCACAUUGGGACUGAGACACGGCCCAAACUCCUACGGGAGGCAGCAGUAGGGAAUCUUCCACAAUGGACGAAAGUCUGAUGGAGCAACGCCGCGUGAGUGAAGAAGGGUUUCGGCUCGUAAAACUCUGUUGUUAAAGAAGAACAUAUCUGAGAGUAACUGUUCAGGUAUUGACGGUAUUUAACCAGAAAGCCACGGCUAACUACGUGCCAGCAGCCGCGGUAAUACGUAGGUGGCAAGCGUUGUCCGGAUUUAUUGGGCGUAAAGCGAGCGCAGGCGGUUUUUUAAGUCUGAUGUGAAAGCCUUCGGCUCAACCGAAGAAGUGCAUCGGAAACUGGGAAACUUGAGUGCAGAAGAGGACAGUGGAACUCCAUGUGUAGCGGUGAAAUGCGUAGAUAUAUGGAAGAACACCAGUGGCGAAGGCGGCUGUCUGGUCUGUAACUGACGCUGAGGCUCGAAAGUAUGGGUAGCAAACAGGAUUAGAUACCCUGGUAGUCCAUACCGUAAACGAUGAAUGCUAAGUGUUGGAGGGUUUCCGCCCUUCAGUGCUGCAGCUAACGCAUUAAGCAUUCCGCCUGGGGAGUACGGCCGCAAGGCUGAAACUCAAAGGAAUUGACGGGGGCCCGCACAAGCGGUGGAGCAUGUGGUUUAAUUCGAAGCUACGCGAAGAACCUUACCAGGUCUUGACAUACUAUGCAAAUCUAAGAGAUUAGACGUUCCCUUCGGGGACAUGGAUACAGGUGGUGCAUGGUUGUCGUCAGCUCGUGUCGUGAGAUGUUGGGUUAAGUCCCGCAACGAGCGCAACCCUUAUUAUCAGUUGCCAGCAUUAAGUUGGGCACUCUGGUGAGACUGCCGGUGACAAACCGGAGGAAGGUGGGGAUGACGUCAAAUCAUCAUGCCCCUUAUGACCUGGGCUACACACGUGCUACAAUGGAUGGUACAACGAGUUGCGAACUCGCGAGAGUAAGCUAAUCUCUUAAAGCCAUUCUCAGUUCGGAUUGUAGGCUGCAACUCGCCUACAUGAAGUCGGAAUCGCUAGUAAUCGCGGAUCAGCAUGCCGCGGUGAAUACGUUCCCGGGCCUUGUACACACCGCCCGUCACACCAUGAGAGUUUGUAACACCCAAAGUCGGUGGGGUAACCUUUUAGGAACCAGCCGCCUAAGGUGGG
RNAcentral lists this ribosomal RNA (1470 nucleotides) under Lactiplantibacillus plantarum. Its description in RNAcentral is "bacterial SSU rRNA". It matches the Rfam family "Bacterial small subunit ribosomal RNA". The record is from RNAcentral. Lineage: Bacteria; Bacillati; Bacillota; Bacilli; Lactobacillales; Lactobacillaceae.